UGGGAUGUAGCCAAGUGGUAAGGCAACGGACUUUGACUCCGUCAUUCGAAGGUUCGAACCCUUCCAUCCCAGCCA
RNAcentral lists this transfer RNA (75 nucleotides) under Desulfovibrio sp. RNAcentral describes it as "tRNA-Gln". It matches the Rfam family "tRNA". From Rfam's summary of the family: Transfer RNA (tRNA) molecules are approximately 80 nucleotides in length. Their secondary structure includes four short double-helical elements and three loops (D, anti-codon, and T loops). Further hydrogen bonds mediate the characteristic L-shaped molecular structure. tRNAs have two regions of fundamental functional importance: the anti-codon, which is responsible for specific mRNA codon recognition, and the 3' end, to which the tRNAs corresponding amino acid is attached (by aminoacyl-tRNA synthetases). tRNAs cope with the degeneracy of the genetic code in two manners: having more than one tRNA (with a specific anti-codon) for a particular amino acid; and 'wobble' base-pairing, i.e. permitting non-standard base-pairing at the 3rd anti-codon position. Lineage: Bacteria; Pseudomonadati; Thermodesulfobacteriota; Desulfovibrionia; Desulfovibrionales; Desulfovibrionaceae. The record is from RNAcentral. RNAcentral also lists the same sequence under 2 other names.